This 75-nucleotide transfer RNA is filed under the name Candidatus Moraniibacteriota bacterium. Its description in RNAcentral is "tRNA-Met". It matches the Rfam family "tRNA". From Rfam's summary of the family: Transfer RNA (tRNA) molecules are approximately 80 nucleotides in length. Their secondary structure includes four short double-helical elements and three loops (D, anti-codon, and T loops). Further hydrogen bonds mediate the characteristic L-shaped molecular structure. tRNAs have two regions of fundamental functional importance: the anti-codon, which is responsible for specific mRNA codon recognition, and the 3' end, to which the tRNAs corresponding amino acid is attached (by aminoacyl-tRNA synthetases). tRNAs cope with the degeneracy of the genetic code in two manners: having more than one tRNA (with a specific anti-codon) for a particular amino acid; and 'wobble' base-pairing, i.e. permitting non-standard base-pairing at the 3rd anti-codon position. Lineage: Bacteria; Candidatus Moraniibacteriota. The record is from RNAcentral.
GGGACUAUAGCUCAGUGGUAGAGCAGACGACUCAUAAUCGUUUGGUCGCAGGUUCGAACCCUGCUAGUCCCACUA